AGGGGAACAGCUCAGUGGUAGAGUGUGUGCUUAGCAUGCAUGAGGUCCUGGGUUCAGUGCCCAGUACCUCAG
This 72-nucleotide transfer RNA is filed under the name Camelus ferus (Wild Bactrian camel). It matches the Rfam family "tRNA". Rfam says of the family: Transfer RNA (tRNA) molecules are approximately 80 nucleotides in length. Their secondary structure includes four short double-helical elements and three loops (D, anti-codon, and T loops). The record is from Rfam by way of RNAcentral. Lineage: Eukaryota; Metazoa; Chordata; Mammalia; Artiodactyla; Camelidae.